RNAcentral lists this long non-coding RNA (2349 nucleotides) under Salvia miltiorrhiza (redroot sage). Its description in RNAcentral is "long non-coding RNA (SMIL_LNC004612)". The record is from RNAcentral. Lineage: Eukaryota; Viridiplantae; Streptophyta; Magnoliopsida; Lamiales; Lamiaceae.
CUUCCAUCAUUGUUUGAGACUGCAUCAGAUGUUGUUUGCUCUAACUCUACAUCUGAAGUCGAUGAUGCACGGGGUGAUGCUGCACGGGAUGAUGCUGCACGAGAUGAUGCCGCACUGCUAGAACCUCCACGACGACCACGAUGAGAUCUAGUACUCAUAUCUGUUCAUAAAUUAUCAUAUACAAAUUAUAAGGUAAUAUUCGAAAGAAAAAAAAACAACAACAAUUAAUCAAAACUGAUAUAAAAUUAUACAUAAAUAGACCUAUCACUCAUCAUUGUCGUCAUAAUCACCAUCAUCAUCAUCAGAAAAGACUAUGUCUUCAUCAGUUUCUUCUUCAAUCUCAUCAAUAUCUAUCAUAAAAAAAAAACAACAACAAUUAAUCAAAAAGUCCUAUUUCCGAAUAGAUUAUCUAAGAGAGAGGGAUGCAGUUUGUGAUGGAUGAGUUUAAUGUGGCAACUAGUGAAUAUGAAAAGAAAUGAAGAAUGAGUUUAAUGUAGCAAAAGACAAAAUUCAUCUCUCAAGUCUCAAUAGCUAAUCUGUUAUUACUAACACCAUCACUAGUAAAGAUCCCACAUGUUCGAAUAAUCGAAAUAAGAUAAGAAAAAUAGCAGAAUACUUAGUUUGGUACAAGAGUUAGAAAGAAUCUUAAUCAUCAAUGCAAUAAAAAGGGAUUAAAUUUUUAUGAGCUGAGAGGUUUAGACAGAAGAAAACAAAAAAUCAUCUAAGCCUUGUAAAAACAAAGAUGUCGAGUGCAAAUACAUAGAAAUCAAGCAAAUAUCACCGCGACUGCAAGUGUGCAUUGCAUAAGGAGAAAGGCAAAUGGUCGCACUCUGCUUCAAAACAGAGGAAUGUUUCAUUUCCAAAAAGAAAAGUUAGCAGUACAGUAAAUGUUCCCUUUCUAUGGCAGCAGCUUUUAUUCAAUAUUCUUAGUGUAUAAUUCAUCAAGUAGCAGUAGAAAUAGAUAGGAAAAGCAUCAACCUACAAUUAGGUUGCAUUACACUGCAAUCUAAAAGGCUUAGAUAAUGAAAUACCAUAUUAAGUGUAGCCUGCUUAUUUAAUACUCGCCUAAAACAACAAGCUAAUCACCAUAAGUAAAGAGGAAUAAAUGCAAAUGAACUGCAUAGUUAAACAGCCAUUGCUUAAUGAUAUAUUAUAGAUGUUCUAAUACUUUCUAUUAAAUAUGAUAUUGAUAUUUUAUAUAACAAAGAUAUCACAAUUAAACACAUCAAACUUUAUCUUAUAAGCUUUCACUCCAACUAAAAACCACCCACGUAUGGAUGAUCCAAUGUUUAAUGUAACAGAACAUAUAUCUAUAGAUCAAAUUUCAUAGCACAUCUCACCAUAUCCCACAACAAAUUAACUUUUAAUUUCUGAUGAAACAAUUUGUCAUCAACACAAACAACUAAAAUGAUUUUGGUAAAAUAGAUGAAAAGAUAUACUAUAAGUGAUUUUAGAUGCCACGAAAAAUAGAUUCCAAUUGCAACAGAAACAUUUACAUUUUGACAAUGGAUGAACAUAUAUUUUGGUAGAAAUUGAUGGAUUAAAGCAGCAGCUCCUUUUUCAACUACACUUAAAAUUUUCAAGAAAAAUAUAGAAGCAUUUCACCAUUCAGAGUUGUUAUAUGAUGAUCCUAAUAUGUUUUAGUUGGAUACAACUGAAUUUGAGCAGGCCAACAAUCAGGUAUUCGAGAUAGGAUGAGCUCCACAUAAACUGUAUCAAUAAAAAAGGAAGACUGUUUUACCUAAAAAUGAGCUGAAUAAGUUUCCAUCCCAUUGACUAAUUCUGAGAAAGAAACAUAACAAUAUUUGGCUGGUAAAUGCAUUAAUGGAUGCAGAGACUUGUCCAAUGUUAGGACCACAAUCGGCAUAUCAGUGGGAUUGAGCCUCCCUAGCAACUAUACAUUACAAUAUCACAAUUCAACUGGAACUAGAAUCGAUCAAAGAAACUAAUCGUCAAGUUUCUAGAUUGUUCAUGCAAAGAAGAUCAGAAAAUGAAUUAAAGCAGUAGUAAUGAUGAAAAACAUAUAUAUAUAUAUACCUGUGUAUUGAUUGAGAUGGAGUUGAAGGGAUCGAUCGUCAAGAGCAGCAGGCCAACAGCGACAGCGGCGGGCGGCGCCAACGGCAAAAGCGACAAUGGGAAGCUGACAAAGAUUAAAUGUACAAUUAGAGAGAGACGNCGACAAUAGGGUAAGGACUGACAAAGAAUUAAAUUAGUACAAUUAGAGAGAGAUAGAGAGAGAGAGAGCUCACGGCGGCGCCAAUGAGGAGGUAGGGUGGUGGACGGCAGCGGUGAAGGAAUGGAGGAGGCUAGGGCUUUUAAUUUGGGAAGGUAAUUUGGGGAGGGAAAAUG